This is an RNA transcript of Harpegnathos saltator (Jerdon's jumping ant), 1645 nucleotides long. RefSeq lists it as uncharacterized. The transcript has 7 exons. The record is from RefSeq and is a predicted model, not a curated record. Lineage: Eukaryota; Metazoa; Arthropoda; Insecta; Hymenoptera; Formicidae.
GCCGUUCUUGCGUAACGUGCGUUUCAAAAAGCCGAGGAACACUUUCGUCCGGUUUGCAUAUAAUUUUUGAAUUUAGAAUUCUUUCGAUGUAGAAUCUCGGCGUGAUAACGAUGCGUAACCAAUAGGUCUCGCUGAUCUUUCGGUCUAAUGGAAGAUUUAUGAGGAAAUGGCGCUCUUUUUGGUCGUGCGUGUCGCUUUGCAAGGAUUCUCGUCCUCGCGAUGCGUCGCAGAAGCUUCCAUGACCGAGCAAACCGCGCCAACAGGUUGUCUUCCGAAAAGCCUGAGCGUUAAUUUCGCCCGGAUUCGCAUGCAGGAGGGCAGUGCCGGUGUCACCGCAUGGCGCGGCACGACGUCUCAUCGGUCAGCACAAAGGCGAUACAUGAGGCUGCGCAGAAUCGUAUCGGCUAACACGAGUUAGACGAGCCGUAUUUAAUUGUGCAUCAGUGUGAAAAGGGACCUUGGAAAGAAUGUUGUCGAUAGUACGUACGGUCUCGCCCUCGAUAAUUAUUCUUUUGAUACUCGAGCGUUAUUUCGGAGCCCGCGGUUCCUCGAUCAAGUCCUUGGACGUGCCGCUGGUCGUUCGCAACGGAACCGGCCCGGUGGAUCUCGCCUGCGUCUACGAGGUUGACGACGAGGAGAACGGACUUGUAAUCAAAUGGUUUCACGAAGCGUAUCAGAUCUACCAAUGGAUUCCGCCGAUACAACCGCAGGAUGUCGGGAUCAUCAAGGGCCUCGCGGAGUACCCGCCCGAGAACUUGAAGAAUCCGUACACGCGCUCUGUGAUCCGACUGAAGACCGUUACCGUUGAUAUGACAGGAGAGUACACGUGCGCGAUCAGCACAUUCCAAGAUGAGGCGAGCAACUCGACAAGGAUGAUCGUCUACGUGCCGGAAAGUGACAUGACCGUGCGUACUUACCCCUUCAACAAGACUCAUGUGAAUUUAACCUGCGUGGUGACCGGCGCGCGACCUCGACCGUCUUUGAAGCUCUACGUGGAGGGUGUCGAGAGCGACGAUCGCGGAAACGACCGCGAGUCUUCGAUGGACUGGUACAAGGGUAAUCCUCGAGUGUCGCUGAAUGUGGUCGUCGAGGACACGCUGGACCCCGCGGUGGUCGAGUGCGAGAUGUCGAUUCCUGAGACGGAGUACAAACGACGAGAGCGGAUCGUCUACUACCCCACGCAAUUACUUGCCUAUCGCACAAAUGUUUCGCAAGGGAGGCAUCGUGCCAAGUCGUUGCUUGUCGUUGAUAUCCUUUACGUUACUAUUAUCAGAUUGAUAUUAACGUAGGAUUAAAGUAGUUCAUUCUGCGCUACGAAUAACGCUGACACGUUAAAACGGCAGUGUUUCUCUCAAAAAUGACAUGUGACAUACCGUGCGAGGACCUCGUGAAGUGAACUUUGUUGACCAGAGCUUGCACAACUUAACUUUGAGCACGCUCUGAUGUAUCACUAUAUUGAAAUGAUAAGGCGAUUGCGUGCGUCGGGGGUGGAAGAGGUAAUCUCAGAUGGUGGGGAUAUCUAGAAGCAGCGGUACCCCACAGGAUUAUCAUUCGCUUCCCGGCGCUCACCUGUAGAGGCAUCCACUUUCGUAACCGAAAUCACCAAUCUCUCCGGCGUUGCGAAUACUUCACAAAAAUGAGUCGC